ACGAGCGGAUGAUGGGAGCUUGCUCCCUGAAGUCAGCGGCGGACGGGUGAGUAACACGUGGGCAACCUGCCUGUAAGACUGGGAUAACUCCGGGAAACCGGGGCUAAUACCGGAUAAUUCUUUCCCUCACAUGAGGGAAAGCUGAAAGAUGGUUUCGGCUAUCACUUACAGAUGGGCCCGCGGCGCAUUAGCUAGUUGGUGAGGUAACGGCUCACCAAGGCGACGAUGCGUAGCCGACCUGAGAGGGUGAUCGGCCACACUGGGACUGAGACACGGCCCAGACUCCUACGGGAGGCAGCAGUAGGGAAUCUUCCGCAAUGGACGAAAGUCUGACGGAGCAACGCCGCGUGAGUGAUGAAGGUUUUCGGAUCGUAAAACUCUGUUGUUAGGGAAGAACAAGUACCGGAGUAACUGCCGGUACCUUGACGGUACCUAACCAGAAAGCCACGGCUAACUACGUGCCAGCAGCCGCGGUAAUACGUAGGUGGCAAGCGUUGUCCGGAAUUAUUGGGCGUAAAGCGCGCGCAGGCGGUUCCUUAAGUCUGAUGUGAAAGCCCCCGGCUCAACCGGGGACGGGUCAUUGCAAACUGGGGGAACUUGAGUGCAGAAGACACCAGUGUAUCUCCACGUGUAGCUGAUGAAAUGAAUAAAGAUGUGGCAGCACCACCAGGGGCUACGGCACUCUUUGCGUCUAUUAACUCGACUCUCAGGGACAUACCGUGGUGCACCUAAGCAGUAUUAAAUUCCCGGGUACCACAGGCCCCUCCACUGAUGAGCUAAGGGCUUAGACGUUUUCCCCCCUGUAGCGGCUGGGGCGGAGGUUUUGAC
Molecule: ribosomal RNA, 828 nt
Filed under: Bacillus sp. AV5
Lineage: Bacteria; Bacillati; Bacillota; Bacilli; Caryophanales; Bacillaceae
Description: bacterial SSU rRNA
Rfam family: Bacterial small subunit ribosomal RNA (bases 1-729)
Source: RNAcentral